UCCCUGGUGGCUCAGAUGGUAAAGCAUCUACCUGCAAUGCAGAAGACCCAGGUUUCAAUUCCUGGGUCGGGAG
Molecule: transfer RNA, 73 nt
Filed under: Ovis aries (sheep)
Lineage: Eukaryota; Metazoa; Chordata; Mammalia; Artiodactyla; Bovidae
Rfam family: tRNA
About the family: Transfer RNA (tRNA) molecules are approximately 80 nucleotides in length. Their secondary structure includes four short double-helical elements and three loops (D, anti-codon, and T loops).
Source: Rfam by way of RNAcentral